AACGAACGUUGGCGGCGUGGAUUAGGCAUGCAAGUUGAGCGUACUCCGCAAGGAGAAGCAGCGUAAGGGGCAGUAAGGCAUGGGUACCUACCUCGGGUUCGGGUAUAGCCUGUAGAGAUACAGGGUAAUCCCCGAUGAUGUCGUAAGACCAAAGCUCCGGCGACCGGAGAGGGGCCCAUGUGAUAUUAGCUAGUUGGUGGGGUAACGGCCCACCAAGGCGAAGAUGUCUAGCGGGUGUGAGAGCACGACCCGCGCCACUGGCACUGAGACACUGGCCAGACACCUACGGGUGGCUGCAGUCGAGGAUCUUCGGCAAUGGGCGCAAGCCUGACCGAGCGACGCCGCGUGUGCGACGAAGGCCUUCGGGUUGUAAAGCACUGUCGAGGGGGAGAAAACCGCAAGGUUGAUCUAUCCCUGGAGGAAGCACGGGCUAAGUUCGUG
Molecule: ribosomal RNA, 441 nt
Filed under: uncultured organism
Description: bacterial SSU rRNA
Rfam family: Bacterial small subunit ribosomal RNA
Source: RNAcentral